This 680-nucleotide ribosomal RNA is filed under the name Allokutzneria multivorans. RNAcentral describes it as "bacterial SSU rRNA". It matches the Rfam family "Bacterial small subunit ribosomal RNA", at positions 66 to 763 of the family's 1533-position model. The record is from RNAcentral. Lineage: Bacteria; Bacillati; Actinomycetota; Actinomycetes; Pseudonocardiales; Pseudonocardiaceae.
GCUGAAGCCCUCCUGGGUGGAUUGAGCGGGGAACGGGUGAGUAACACGUGGGUAAUCUGCCCUGCACUCUGGGAUAAGCCCGGGAAACUGGGUCUAAUACCGGAUACGACUACCUUGGGCAUCCAGGGUGGUGGAAAGUUCCGGCGGUGCAGGAUGAACCCGCGGCCUAUCAGCUUGUUGGUGGGGUAAUGGCCUACCAAGGCGACGACGGGUAGCCGGCCUGAGAGGGCGACCGGCCACACUGGGACUGAGACACGGCCCAGACUCCUACGGGAGGCAGCAGUGGGGAAUAUUGCGCAAUGGGCGAAAGCCUGACGCAGCGACGCCGCGUGAGGGAUGACGGCCUUCGGGUUGUAAACCUCUUUCAGCAGGGACGAAGCGUAAGUGACGGUACCUGCAGAAGAAGCACCGGCCAACUACGUGCCAGCAGCCGCGGUAAUACGUAGGGUGCGAGCGUUGUCCGGAAUUAUUGGGCGUAAAGAGCUCGUAGGCGGUUUGUUGCGUCGGCCGUGAAAACUCAGGGCUUAACUCUGAGCCUGCGGUCGAUACGGGCAGACUUGAGUUCGGUAGGGGAGACUGGAAUUCCUGGUGUAGCGGUGAAAUGCGCAGAUAUCAGGAGGAACACCGGUUGCGAAGGCGGGGUCUCUGGGCCGAUACUGACGCUGAGGAGCGAAAGCGUG